Molecule: long non-coding RNA, 585 nt
Filed under: Elaeis guineensis (African oil palm)
Lineage: Eukaryota; Viridiplantae; Streptophyta; Magnoliopsida; Arecales; Arecaceae
Description: long non-coding RNA (EGUI_LNC032929)
Source: RNAcentral
GUAUGCUUGACAUUGUCUAUUGGAAUACAAUACCCCAUUCCUUCAAAAAUUUCACUAAUGUUCCUAGCUAUUUUCUCAUCUCUAUAUGUUUACUAUAGUAUUUAUCAUCUCUAUUAAAUCUAACUACAUAUAUCAUUUUUCCUGAUUAUCUCUCUACUUCUAUUUCAAAUUUUUUAAAGACCUCAAAAUAUUAGCCCUAUCAUAUAAAAGGUACAGAUACAUAUCGUGAAUGAUCAUUAAUAAAUAUGAUGAAAUAUUUUCACCUGUUAGAUAUAAAGAAAAUAUUUGCAUGCAACAAUGUAAAUGAUUUUUAAAGUUUCUUUACUCCUCCUAGCAUCUUUUUUAGAUGUAUAUAUCUGCUUUGCUUUUAUACAGUCAAUACAUAUCACAAAAUGAGUGAAGUUUUAUGAUCCUAAGAUCUUAUUCUUUACUAGCUUUUUUACCCUUUCUUUGGAGAUAUGCCCCAACCUUCAAUGCCAUAACAUAAAAGAGCUUUCAAAAGAACAUAAAAACCAACUCCAAAAUCUAAGAUUAUCCUAUAGCAUUCAAUUAUCUUGAUAAAUUAAUGUAUUGAUUUUAAUAAUG